Molecule: unclassified non-coding RNA, 355 nt
Filed under: soil metagenome
Description: partial contains 5.8S ribosomal RNA, internal transcribed spacer 2, and large subunit ribosomal RNA
Rfam family: 5.8S ribosomal RNA (bases 1-120)
Source: RNAcentral
GAUGAAGAACGCAGCGAAAUGCGAUAAGUAAUGCGAAUUGCAGAAUUCAGUGAGUCAUCGAAUCUUUGAACGCACAUUGCGCCCAUUAGUAUUCUAGUGGGCAUGCCUGUUCGAGCGCCAUUAAGUCCACUUAAGCCCUGCUUAGUGUUGGGAGACUGCUCCAGCGGUGCUACCCUGUAGCUACCCUGCAGCUCCUCAAAGACAGCGGCGGAGUUGUGGUAUCCUCUGAGCUUAGUAACUUGUUCUAGCUUUCGAGUACACCACUUCCCCUGCCGUAAAACCCUUAAUUUUUAAUGGUUGACCUCGGAUCAGGUAGGAAUACCCGCUGAACUUAAGCAUAUCAAUAAGCGGAGGA